This is a long non-coding RNA of Myodes glareolus (Bank vole), 865 nucleotides long. RefSeq lists it as uncharacterized. The record is from RefSeq and is a predicted model, not a curated record. Lineage: Eukaryota; Metazoa; Chordata; Mammalia; Rodentia; Cricetidae.
GCCUGUCAGUGCUAAGGUCGGAGCGAACCACUGACCAGGAAUGGGGGAGGGAACGUAAUCAAAUGUUCAACGUUUCAGAGACAGAGAGAAGAAAAUGAUGCUUAAAGUCUGUAUCUGUUUUACCAGGUUUCCACUUGGCUGACAAUCACAUCCAAGCAUCAAUUGCUGAUAACAACCUGCUCCAAAUGAUUAUGAGUCCUGAACUUGCUAAAACCUGACGUGGACCAAUCCAGCCAAUGUGACUGCUGUCUUUCCAGCUUGUCAAUGUACCAGAUUCUUUAUGACCACCAGCAGUAGAUUCCAGGCCGUUGGAUCAAGGCCCGAAGGCCCGAUUAAAACGACAGUGCAGAGAAGAAUGACAUCGAGGGGAAACAAGGACAAUCUUGAGGUGCUGGUGGCAGCAAUGGCCCAGUUAUCAUUGACCAGAAAAUGUCCUCAUUGGCAUGUUAAAGCUCCUUUGCCUACCUGGGGGCAAAUUAAGUCUCUCACUGCUAAUGGUCAAGCUGUUCUGCAGAGGUAUGAUAAACCUGUUACAGCCCAGAAUCUUUUCCUGGCCAUGUGUGCUUUACUGUUGGUAACUUCUGCAGAAGCCAAUAGCUCCAGCUACAAAGAACAACGAGACAGUUAACGGUCCAGUCCUCGGCUUAUGGCUUGGGGAGAUGGAGGGUUAAGCGGACCUCGGAUGGCUACUCUACAAUUUCCCGACGCUGGUCAGAUGCAUAUUUGGAAGCUGACUGCUGCCUUAAAGACUGUGCACCUCUAUAAUGGAUCAUUUUCUGGAACUGCUUCCAGUGCUUCUGUGUAUAACUUCACUGUUGUGGGAGUAACUUCCGCUGCCUCAACCAAUAGUCACUGAAAUACGAGC